UACGUAGGGGGCAAGCGUUGUCCGGAUUUAUUGGGCGUAAAGAGCGUGUAGGCGGCCAGGUAGGUCCGUUGUGAAAACUCGAGGCUCAACCUCGAGACGUCGAUGGAAACCAUCUAGCUAGAGUCCGGAAGAGGAGAGUGGAAUUCCUGGUGUAGCGGUGAAAUGCGCAGAUAUCAGGAAGAACACCCGUGGCGAAGGCGGCUCUCUGGGACGUGACUGACGCUGAGACGCGAAAGCGUGGGGAGCGAACAGG
RNAcentral lists this ribosomal RNA (253 nucleotides) under uncultured bacterium. Its description in RNAcentral is "partial 16S ribosomal RNA". It matches the Rfam family "Bacterial small subunit ribosomal RNA", at positions 524 to 776 of the family's 1533-position model. The record is from RNAcentral.